Molecule: long non-coding RNA, 394 nt
Organism: Gasterosteus aculeatus aculeatus (three-spined stickleback)
Lineage: Eukaryota; Metazoa; Chordata; Actinopteri; Perciformes; Gasterosteidae
Source: Ensembl
UAUUACUUUACUCAUAAACCGACAUUACCCUCUCCUAAAAUCUCUGUGCUCUCCCUCCCCACAGGCUUCUGUGGAUGGUGGUUCUAUGUGAUGGUGGUUGCCCCUGCAGUGGUCCUGCUAUCCAACUAAAUGGAUAAAGAUGGGAUCCAGCUGAAAUAAAGACCUGAAUUAAACGGACAAAUUUACGGGCUGCUGUUUGGAUAUCUGGAAAAUUGAUCAGUAUGGCAGGUCCAGUGCAGAAUUCACACAGGCUGUCUGUGAAAACGUGGACAGAGGAUGAGAGUGACAGAGCUGAGAGCACACCAAGCAGGGCACAGUCGAUGUGUGAUGACACUUCAUCGGAGCUUCAGAGGAUGGCGGCCAUUGACCGAAGAGAUAUUAAUUCUCAGAAUUC